UAUACAYCAAUGGCCACCCGUAAAUUGGCAUCAAUUCUGAACUGUCACCUACUCCGACUGUACUUUGGGCGUAAAAAUUCUGAACUUGGGCUGAACCGUCUUUCUCCCAAAAUUUUGACAGGGAGUGCUGAUUUUGAAUGAUGCGGUGGUAAUGGCGGAGUUUGGCGUUUUUGAAGGAGGGAAGUGGUGGUAAAGUAUGGUGAACCCUGGAGUGCUGGCUUCGGACGAAGGAUGGAGGGAACGAGAGGCGUUUUUGCGCUGAUGCUUGGUUGUUUCUAUGUGAGGUUUCCGCCCUAAGGUUUCAGAUCAGGAGGCUUGGGCGUGUCAGGUGUGGAGCUGCAAAUCGGCCUUGGGCGUAAGGUCGUUUGACUGCACCAGGUUUCUUUCAUUUUUCCCUUGAAAACCCAAUGCCCUACUAGCUCUAAGUUUAGCCGUAACAUUUAUUUGGGCUAUCCCCUGUCUCUACGAGAUAUAAAACGGAUCUUCUUCUCAAACCUAGCACCAUUUUUUUCUUCGGAGAAGUAUCUUUCCUUUCCAUGGACAGCCUGACACCAUUUUUCUCUCCUCAACCUCUGUAAAAUCCCCCUUCAAUCAUCGUUCGUUGUAUUCUGUUAUGUGGAGUGUGAGUGCAAGAAUUUCAUUCUAUGCAAAGAGAGAUAUACAGUAGAGAGAAAUAGAGGAAUAGUAAGAAGGAGCUACAGCGUGCUUAGAAGCUCCGUUUCUGAGUUCAAUGGAGACACAAUUGUAAGAUCUGUUUUAAGUUCUUCACCAAUAGGAAGUAUCAGUGUGGGACAUGCAAGGUGUUUCGCUCUGCUCUUAUCAAGCCUUGGGCGGCCAUAGAGCAAGUCACAAGAAGAUCAAUGGUUGUACGCCAUCUUCCUCUGGGCACAACUCACAAGAGAUCUUUGCUUCUGGACCAGCUCUUGGUGGGCACAAGAGAUCUCACCUUUCUCGUCGGGAUUCAUGAUCAGAACUUCUUUUUGAGACAUCUUAUGCAUGGCGAUCAUCAUCCCGGCGCCGCUUGCGAUGGUAACCUCUACCAUGCCUAUGGUAACCCCCAUGCCCUUGACCACUAUGUCUAACAUUAUGAGAUGGCAUGACAGGUGGAAAGCACCCAAAUACCUGCACCAUAAUCUAUUAGGGUUGGUAAAAGCUCAACAAUGAAGAUUGGGUGUCAUUGCGUGUUUAUCCAAUCUACAUCAACGGGAGAACGACUGGCAUUCAAUUAUGAGACAAAUAUAUUAAUUAAUGUCAAAAAGUGUACAUUAAUUAACCAUCUUCCCAGGCUUCCUCCUCUAUCACCUAUAGAAUGGCCAUUGUUGUUCUUGUUCUUAAUAGAAUAAGCAUUCCAAUCACUCACUCUCUCUAUUUCUCUCUUUCAAUCAAUCUAUCUAUCAUUCUCACAACAUCGGGUAUUCAUCCAUACGUCCCUUUUAACAUCCCAUCUUCCCCAAUUCUUUCUUCUUUCUCUUCUUCACAAUUCAUUUCUUCCUUCCAAAAACCCUCUCUCCUAUCUCACAAAAACCUUAUGACCAACCCAUAAAAGAUCACCAAAAUUGA
Nelumbo nucifera (sacred lotus) is the source of this 1560-nucleotide long non-coding RNA. RefSeq lists it as uncharacterized. NCBI's taxonomy places the organism in Eukaryota, Viridiplantae, Streptophyta, Magnoliopsida, Proteales, Nelumbonaceae. The record is from RefSeq and is a predicted model, not a curated record.